CUGUCGUGGUAGAGCGUAACAAAUAGAUCCUGAUGUGGUGGAAGUUUUGCACACCAACGGGGCCGCCUCUAGCGUUGUUUUGCCCAAGUGUUUGAGCUGGCUCUUGCCCCUCCCCCAUCUUCUUUCCCUCAUGCCCCAAAGUUACAAAACCAGAAUUUCCUUCCUGAUAAAAACUUCCAACCCCGUUGCCGAUUGGUUCCAGUUUGGGAAAGGACGUGACAUCAGCCCCACCGCUCAUUUCACGCAGUGUGUUCUCCCUGGGUUCCGGCAGGCUAACAGGCGAGCCGUGUCCGGUUGAAUCUGAACCCAGGUACUCGGGCCGCCUCUGGACCGAGCCCUAGCCUGCCGCAGAAGCCGUUCUGUUCAGAACGCACAGUUUGCUGAACAGAUGAGUCAUUCAACAGGGAUUUUCAGCAGGGAGGAUGGAAUUUGAACUCUCCUGAUCAACUGAAGUGGAACACUGCGCUUCAACUGUCCCAGUAGAAUGUGCAAUGGAUGGGCAAGGAGCAACUGAAAAUACCAGCAAGUUCCAGGGGCCGGAGGAACGGCCUGAGACCCAACUUCUCCCAAGUCCGUUGAUGAGUGAUUUUGUAUGUGACUGGUCUCCCAUGCACGAGGCUUCCGUUCACGGUCGACUACUUUCUCUGAAGAAACUCAUCAGUCAGGGCAGUGGGGUAAACCUCCUUACCGCUGACCGCGUGUCUCCCCUUCAUGAAGCCUGUCUUGGUGGCCAUCCUGCUUGUGCUGAUGUCUUACUAAAACAUGGGGCCCAGGUGAAUGGCGUGACUGUCGACUGGCGCACGCCUUUGUACAAUGCCUGUGUCAGUGGUAGUGUGGACUGCCUGAAUCUCUUAUUGCAGCAUGGAGCCAGCCCACAAGCAGUUUGUGACCUGGCCUCACCUAUCCACCAAGCUGCUAAAAGAGGGCAUGUGGCAUGUGUGGAGUCCCUAACAUCUCACGGAGUGGAUAUAGAUCACGAUAUCAAACACCUAGGGACUCCACUUUACGUGGCUUGUGAGAAUCAGCAGAUAGCCUGUGCCAAGAAGCUACUUGAAUCAGGAGCGAGUGCUAAUAGAGGCAGAGGUCUGGAUUCUCCUCUUCACUUGGCUGUCACGAAUUCCAACGCAGAUCUGGUCCACUUGCUGAUUGACUUCGGAGCAGACACGCAGUCCAAGAACAGAGAAGGCAAACGGCCAGUGGAGUUGGUUCCCCCGAGGAGCUCUCUGACCGAGCUCUUUUCUCAGUUAGAAGGUUGACAUCUUUGAGAAGAGAAUUCUGGACAAGGCCCCGUUGUGGCGGUGAAUGAAAGGGCUGUUUGGUUCCCUGCCCCCACGAGGGUUGGCAGCUUGGCCCGGUGGGCUGGGUGAUGUGCCCAGGUACCCAGCAGCCUCCAGACCUCGGCAGCUCUGCCACUUGCCAAUGAUGUUUCCUCCAGUUAUCCUCAAGGUCCACCAGGCAGCAGACAUGCUGGCAGUCAACCCGUGAGGGUGGUAUGUGGGGAAUGCAGUCAUCACCGUUCUUGGCUCCUGGGCACUUAGGGAACGACCUUCCGAUGAUCCCGCAUUUAUCUGGAUAGAAGGCGAUGUGAUGACCUUAGGAACACUUGCCCACAUGGGUAGUGUGGUUCAGGGGCCCGGGUAGUAUGGCACCAGUUUCCUGUCAUACAAGGUUCAUCAGCAAAGGAGGAUUGACAUGAGCUGAGGGGAUUUCCAGACAUACCUCAACAUGCUGGGUGGCCACUGAUCCACGCGUGGAUUCCAGGAGAAAGACUGGAUUCCACCUGAAGAACCAAAUUGGGGCAAGGAAAGCAGCUGACUCCCUGCCUGGCCAAGAGGAGACUUCAGAGCCACAGGAGAUUUGAUGCCAGGUGCGCAGGUGCGGCUGCUGUGGAUAGCUGUCCUCCUUCAUUUUUGAAGAAGAUGCCGCUGACGGUGGAAUCCACUCCGUGCCUGCACGUGAGACUUUCAAGCCCGUCGUGGGAUGGACAGUCCCUUCCUCGCCUCGUGCAGGCUCAGCAAAUAGCUUGCAAGGGAGAAGACGGGCAGGUGGUGACUUCAGAGAUGCGCAAGAUUGCCCGCUGCUACAUCUCUCCAGUGCAGAACUUCUUCCUCGGACUCUCUCAAAAGCCAGCAAGUCCUUCUGUCCUGCACCUCACUGGGACUCAAUGCUAUGGGGUUUUUUGUGUUUUUUUUGUUUUUUUACUGAUAAGGAACAAAGCGCUGCUUAAACGAACUGGAGAAAUUCUAAAGUUCUGGGAGAGUUGACGUUUUAAAUCCUGAAAAAACAUUGGAAGGAGAUUAAAAGCAGCUUACCUGCGAGUAUAAAUCCUCAUUCGUCUUUGUCGGAACAUUAAAAGCGUUUUCUUUUAA
Ornithorhynchus anatinus (platypus) is the source of this 2369-nucleotide RNA transcript. It is a transcript of the gene named ankyrin repeat and SOCS box containing 9, with no coding region annotated. The transcript is spliced from 12 exons. NCBI's taxonomy places the organism in Eukaryota, Metazoa, Chordata, Mammalia, Monotremata, Ornithorhynchidae. The record is from RefSeq and is a predicted model, not a curated record.